CGACGUAGCUCAAUGGCAGAGCAGCUGAUUUGUAAUCAGCAGGUUGCGGGUUCAAGUCCCAUCGUCGG
Molecule: transfer RNA, 68 nt
Filed under: human gut metagenome
Rfam family: tRNA
About the family: Transfer RNA (tRNA) molecules are approximately 80 nucleotides in length. Their secondary structure includes four short double-helical elements and three loops (D, anti-codon, and T loops).
Source: RNAcentral